RNAcentral lists this long non-coding RNA (1564 nucleotides) under Homo sapiens (human). RNAcentral describes it as "non-protein coding lnc-TRIM41-4:10". Lineage: Eukaryota; Metazoa; Chordata; Mammalia; Primates; Hominidae. The record is from RNAcentral.
CCGUCUCACAUUUGGAUGAAGUAGGAAAAGGCAGCUUUUAGGGUACACCCUGACAUGUUCUGUCAGGGCCCUUAAAGGGCCCACGGGCCGGAGGAGAGGGGAAAAGGAUGAGGGCUCAGCCUGGCAAAGGACAGAAAGUGGUGGGUGUAGGAGGUGGACCUUGGUCUGGUGGCCUAGCCUGCCCUGUGCUCCCUGCAAUGCCGGGUGACUUGGGUCACUGGGCGGCCAGGCCAGAGGUGGGCCUCUAGGUGCCCCCCAUUCUGGAUGCUGAGGGUCCCUGUGAGGGUCUGGCGGCAGAGGCCUGCGCUUAUGGGUCAGCAGCUAGGACUGAUGGGUUGAAUAAGAAGGGCCCAAGUUAGGCCAGUUGUUCUCACAGACCCAGAGGUCCCUAGAGUUUAUGAUGCCCAGAGUCUAGGAGAGGGAAAUGCACACACAUGCCCUCGAGGACACCAGCAUCCUGACAUCCAAGUUACUGUACUGCCCUGGUUAGCAAGAAAGAACAUCUGUUCCCUUCUCUAUGCAAUUGUUACAGUAACUGUUGUUACAUUUCUUAAGAUACAUAGCUAUAUAUGUAGUCACUCUGCAAACACACACACUCUGAUAGACACACGAUUGCACUCAUGGACACAAAAACGGAAAAUAAACAUGCGGACAGCUACUCCCAGUCCCCAGACCUGACCCUCAUGUGACACCUUCACCAGACAUGGUACUUUCUGGGACCUGUAAUGUGUGUUGUGAUGCCCAGCACAUUUGUUGGAUGGUACAAAGGGAAUUAUGAUACUUAAUCAAAAAGCCAUACAAGCCAGAUAACAUUAAGGCUUAACGGUAACAAUAGGUGAUUCAGUUAGGAAAUUAAUGUUAGAGAUCGGUUUUCCUUGUGGAAAUCAGUGGUAUUCAAAUGCCUGAAUUGGCUACCCGGUUUUAGAGCUGCUCUCCAUGUAUGAGCAGGACAUAGGAUUCACUCUCUGGAAUGCUUCUGUAGGCAGGACUUUGAAAUGACCCUGUCCUCAGCCUGGAGGAUGCGGUAUUCUGAUUGUCUGGUGCUGUGUCAACUGGGCCUGCCUCUGGGAUAGUGUUGUGGCUGCCCCACGAGAACCCUAUAUGCCAGGUGAGCUUGAAGCACCUCAGAGACAGAGCACUGAAGCUCCAUGACACAGGGCUAUUCAGCUAUCAUUGCCCCUGUUUGCCAGCACCUCUGUCUAAAUAACUUGUGUGGGACAGAAUUAGGUCCGAGUCUGGUAUUCUGUUCAUCUAGCCUGGUAGCCAGGUAGUGAGAGAAGAAACCUGUGGCCCUUGUCUAAAUAUGAGGUGGUCAGUAUUUAACAACAAAUCAACAAUAGGGUAUGACCAGACUGACUUGGGUCUGUUUGCAACACCUGAACCUUAUGCACAUGCUCAUAAAUGCCCUCUCCAAAAUACACACACACACCCCCAAGAAAGGUGAGAUACAAAUACACACUCCUCCCACACAGAAACAUGCAUGCUCAUUCACUCUGGCAGAAACCCUGAUCACACUUACGCUCCUGCACUCAGAUCUAGGGAGUAGAAAAUGGGCCAAGCCAAC